GAGAGACCAUUGAUAGUCCAUGUUGGACGACUAGGAGUUGAGAAGAGUUUGGAUUUACUCAAAAGGCACUGCUCUUUUAUUUCAAAUGAUAAGUAUUUUCUGCUUUUGCAAUUUAGGAAAUAUUACUUGCAAAAUAUUGACGGAAUAAUGCUUUUUUCAUAAUUAUUAUAAGUUGUAACCAUUGACAUUUGGGAUGUAUGAUUCAACAGUGUCAUGGACCAGAUACCUGAGGCACGAAUUGCUUUUAUUGGAGAUGGACCAUACAGGGAGGAUCUGGAAAAGCUGUUCUCCGGCAUGCCUGUCGUAUUCACAGGGAUGUUAGGAGGUGAAGAGCUCUCUCAAGCAUACGCCAGCGGAGAUGUUUUCGUCAUGCCUUUAGAAUCAGAGACGCUCGGACACAUAAUGUCAUUUUCA
Non-coding RNA from Camellia sinensis, 414 nucleotides. The record is from RefSeq and is a predicted model, not a curated record. NCBI's taxonomy places the organism in Eukaryota, Viridiplantae, Streptophyta, Magnoliopsida, Ericales, Theaceae.